Oncorhynchus tshawytscha (Chinook salmon) is the source of this 461-nucleotide long non-coding RNA. Lineage: Eukaryota; Metazoa; Chordata; Actinopteri; Salmoniformes; Salmonidae. The record is from Ensembl.
CCUGGGGGGAAAGAGACGAGCAUAGGUUCCUCCCAAGAUGCCACCCGCUUCAUUCAAGUGUCUGGCAGCACUGUGUUCCUGUUAGAGCCACCAGCACAAGCACCAGACGAUGCUGAUCCAGGUGAAGGCCCCAGUGCAGCAGCAACAGCACAUGAUGGAGACGAUGAUGAGGAGGAGACCAUCUCUCUGGAUUCCAGAAGGCAUGAGGACCCAGAUGCUAUACAGUGGGAAAACCAGCCUGGCAACAUAGUGCGUAUUAAUAAAAGGACACCACAUCCUGCCAAAUUCCAGCUGCGCUAAUUGUAUUGUGUUCACAGAGCUCACAAGCUAUCAGAAAGUUGUAUGGCAACCACCUCCGGCGCCAAAUAGAACUGGCAGACAUAGACAUUCAGUACAAGAAGAAAAAGAUGGAAAAUCUUGCACUGGAGUUCGAAAUAAAAAAGAGGACAAUUAGGAAACUG